Molecule: non-coding RNA, 473 nt
Organism: Lolium perenne
Lineage: Eukaryota; Viridiplantae; Streptophyta; Magnoliopsida; Poales; Poaceae
Source: RefSeq, a predicted model, not a curated record
AUAGCUACUUCCAAAGGUACAUGUCAUCGGGCGCUUCUUCAAAGUUCAUCAGCAUUUCCUCCCUCGACCACGAUCAAGGAGACUAAGCAAACCAUCAACGCAUGGCGCCUGCGUCAAGGGUGUCUCCUCCGCUGCCAGGCUCUCCUUUGGCAACGCCUCCUCCAUGUACGUCAAGUCCGCUGCAGUUCAGCCACGACAAGCUAUUGGUGGGUUCUUCAAUGGCUAUAGUUGUACAUGUUUUAGUUUAUGAAUCCUUUGAAAACUGCUACUUGCGAUGAUAGACGAAGAUGAGGAGGAGGGUGACUUGUUGCUGCUCUAUCCCACGCCAAGGAGGCAAGGACCAUGAGCGGGGAUUAAAGAAGAGGAUGUACGAAAUAAGAAAAAAUAAUAAGAAUAGCAUAUGAAAAUAGGGUGGCUUUGAUUGGGUAAAAAGUUGGUAUAUUUUUUUUUUACAAGUGAGCUAGGUUUCUGAA